This 69-nucleotide transfer RNA is filed under the name Macracanthopsis nodipes. RNAcentral describes it as "tRNA-Phe". The record is from RNAcentral. Lineage: Eukaryota; Metazoa; Arthropoda; Insecta; Hemiptera; Reduviidae.
GUUCAAGUAGCUUAAGCUUUUAAAAGUAUGACAUUGAAGCUGUUAUGAUGAGAAUGUUCUCCUUGAACA